This 385-nucleotide ribosomal RNA is filed under the name uncultured bacterium. RNAcentral's name for it is "bacterial SSU rRNA". It matches the Rfam family "Bacterial small subunit ribosomal RNA", at positions 30 to 413 of the family's 1533-position model. The record is from RNAcentral.
AUUGAACGCUGGCGGCAUGCUUUACACAUGCAAGUCGAACGGCAGCACGGGAGCUUGCUCCUGGUGGCGAGUGGCGAACGGGUGAGUAAUGCGUCGGAACGUGCCAAGUAAUGGGGGAUAACGCAGCGAAAGUUGUGCUAAUACCGCAUAAGCUCUGAGGAGGAAAGCGGGGGAUCGAAAGACCUCGCGUUAUUUGAGCGGCCGACGUCUGAUUAGCUAGUUGGUGGGGUAAAGGCCCACCAAGGCGACGAUCAGUAGCGGGUCUGAGAGGAUGAUCCGCCACACUGGGACUGAGACACGGCCCAGACUCCUACGGGAGGCAGCAGUGGGGAAUUUUGGACAAUGGGGGCAACCCUGAUCCAGCCAUGCCGCGUGUCUGAAGAAG